GUUACCAACCAGAUUUUCCCAGUGUGGACAUACUCCUACCUCGCUCUCCUUUUCCCAGUCUUUCUGAUCACAGACUACCUGCGCUACAAGCCCAUCCUCCUCCUCCAGGGCAUCAGCUUCAUCACCACCUGGCUCCUGCUGCUCUUUGCACAGGGGGUGCUGGCCAUGCAGAUGGUGGAAUUCUUCUACGGGAUGGCGACAGCCACCGAGGUCGCCUAUUACGCCUACAUCUACAGCGUUGUCAGCACCGAUCGCUAUCAGAGAGUGACCAGCUACUGCAGAAGCAUCACCCUGGCUGCAGCCACCCUUGCUGCCGUGCUGGGGCAGCUGCUGGUUUCCUUAGCAGAUGUAUCCUACUUUCACCUCAAUGCCAUCACUUUGGCUUCCGUGUCCCUGGCAUUUGUGACUUCCUUUUUCCUCCCAAUGCCCCAGAAGAGCAUGUUCUUCCACAGGAAAGACAUCCCGGUAGCUCUGCCAGGACCAGAUCAAGUCGUGGCUGCAGUUGGCUCCCACAGGCCCUCGAGCUGCCCAGAGGACAAGGGCUCUGGAUCUGCUGGCAGGGAACCCACACCUGAACAGCAGGCAGGUCGUGUCCAGCCCCAGAAUGGUGUGCUCAGAGUGCUGGUGCAGCUGAGCCAGGACCUGAGGGACUGCUACAGCUCCAGGAAACUUCUCUACUGGUCCCUCUGGUGGGCUCUGGCUACAGCAGGCUUUAACCAGGUUCUGAACUAUAUCCAAGUACUGUGGGACUUCAGAGCCCCCUCUCACAGCUCUGCAGUGUACAAUGGAGCUGUUGAAGCAAUAGCAACUUUUUUAG
This is an RNA transcript of Chaetura pelagica (chimney swift), 817 nucleotides long. It is a transcript of the gene named thiamine transporter 2 pseudogene, with no coding region annotated. The transcript has a single exon. The record is from RefSeq and is a predicted model, not a curated record. Lineage: Eukaryota; Metazoa; Chordata; Aves; Apodiformes; Apodidae.